This 433-nucleotide ribosomal RNA is filed under the name uncultured bacterium. RNAcentral describes it as "partial 16S ribosomal RNA". It matches the Rfam family "Bacterial small subunit ribosomal RNA", at positions 29 to 507 of the family's 1533-position model. The record is from RNAcentral.
AGCGAACGCUGGCGGCAGGCCUGACACAUGCAAGUCGAACGAACUCUUCGGAGUUAGUGGCGGACGGGUGAGUAACACGUGGGAACGUGCCUUUUGGUUCGGAAUAACUCAGGGAAACUUGUGCUAAUACCGAAUGUGCCCUUCGGGGGAAAGAUUUAUCGCCAUUAGAGCGGCCCGCGUCUGAUUAGCUAGUUGGUGAGGUAACGGCUCACCAAGGCGACGAUCAGUAGCUGGUCUGAGAGGAUGACCAGCCACACUGGGACUGAGACACGGCCCAGACUCCUACGGGAAGCAGCAGUGGGGAAUCUUGCGCAAUGGGCGAAAGCCUGACGCAGCCAUGCCGCGUGAAUGAUGAAGGUCUUAGGAUUGUAAAAUUCUUUCACCGGGGACGAUAAUGACGGUACCCGGAGAAGAAGCCCCGGCUAACUUCGUG